UCUCCUCUAAGUAAUUAAGUACAUACACUACAUUACCAAAAGUAUGUGGCUUGUCCAACAUCUCAUUCCAAAAUCAUGGGCAUUAAUAUGGAGUAGGUCACUGAUGUUGGGCGAUUAGGUCUGGCUCACAGUCGAUUAGGUCUGGCUCACACUCAAUUCAUCCCAAAUGUGUUGGAUGGGGUUGAGGUCAGGGCUCUGUUCAGGCCAGUCAAGUUCUUCCACACAGAUGCUAACAAAUCAUUUCUGUAUGGACCUCAUUUGUGCACGGGGGCAUUAACAUGCUGAAACAGGCAGUUUGGAACUCAGUAGAGAGUUUUGAAACCAAGGACAAAGAGCUUCAACACUCAGUCCCGUUCUGUGAGUUUGUGUGGCCAACCACUUCACAGUGAAGCCGUUGAUGCUCCUAGAGGUUUGUGUGGCCAACCACUUCACAGUGAAGCCGUUGAUGCUCCUAGAGGUUUGUGUGGCCAACCACUUCUCAGUUAAGCAGUUGAUGCUCCUAGAGGAUUGUGUGGCCACUUCACAGUGAAGCCGUUGAUGCUCCUAGAGGAUUGUGUGGCCACUUCACAGUGAAGCCGUUGAUGCUCCUAGAGGUUUGUGUGGCCACUUCACAGUGAAGCAGUUGAUGCUCCUAGAGGUUUGUGUGGCCACUUCACAGUGAAGCCGUUGAUGCUCCUAGAGGUUUGUGUGGCCACUUCACAGUGAAGCCGUUGAUGCUCCUAGAGGUUUGUGUGGCCACUUCACAGUGAAGCCGUUGAUGCUCCUAGAGGUUUGUGUGGCCACUUCACAGUGAAGCAGUUGAUGCUCCUAGAGGUUUGUGUGGCCACUUCACAGUGAAGCCGUUGAUGCUCCUAGAGGUUUGUGUGGCCACUUCACAGUGAAGCCGUUGAUGCUCCUAGAGGUUUGUGUGGCCACUUCACAGUUAAGCCGUUGAUGCUCCUAGAGGAUUGUGGGAAAAGUAUUCAGAUCCCUUUUGCCUUUUUUCCACAGUUUGUUACGUUACAGCCUUAUUUUAAAAUGGAUUCAAUUGUUGUUUUUCCCUCAUCAAUCUACCAGUGGUAGAAAAAGUACCAACUUUUCAUACUUGAGUAAAAGUAAAGAUACCUUAAUAGAAAAUGACUCAAUUAAAAGUCAGCCAGUAAAAUACUACUUGAGUAAAACUCUAAAAGUAUUUGUUUUUAAAUAUACUAAUUUUAAAUUCCCUAUAUUAAUCAAAUCGAAAUGUAUUCGUCACAUGCAGAAAUGGUUGUUCUUCUGGAAGGUUCUCCCAUCUCCACAGAGGAACUCUGGAGCUCUGUCAGAGUGACCAUCGGGUUCUUGGUCACCUCCCUGACCAAGGCCCUUCUCACUGGAUUGCUCAGUUUGGCCGAGUGGCCAGCUCUAGGAAGAGUCUUGGUGGUUCAGAACUUCUUCCAUUUAAGAAUGAUGGAGGCCACUGUGUUUUUGUACACCUUUAAAUGCUGCAGAAAUGUUUUGGUAGGUCCUUCUGUAGCUCAGUUGGUAGAGCAUGGCGCUUGUAACGCCAGGGUAGUGGGUUCAAUUCCCGGGACCACCCAUACGUAGAAUGUAUGCACACAUGACUGUAAGUCGCUUUGGAUAAAAGCGUCUGCUAAAUGGCAUAUAUUAUUAUUAUUAUAUAUUGGUACCCUUCCCCAGAUCUGUGCCUCGA
Molecule: long non-coding RNA, 1669 nt
Organism: Oncorhynchus keta (chum salmon)
Lineage: Eukaryota; Metazoa; Chordata; Actinopteri; Salmoniformes; Salmonidae
Exons: 3
Source: RefSeq, a predicted model, not a curated record